CACAGCUUUCUUGAACUUUCUUGUACUUAUUCUUUUGAUCUCUAUAGAUUGAAUAGGUAGCACCUUGGAAGCUCAAGAAAGCUGUG
RNAcentral lists this microRNA precursor (86 nucleotides) under Hevea brasiliensis (rubber tree). RNAcentral describes it as "miR396 stem-loop (hbr-MIR396a)". Its record names the gene hbr-MIR396a. The record is from miRBase by way of RNAcentral. Lineage: Eukaryota; Viridiplantae; Streptophyta; Magnoliopsida; Malpighiales; Euphorbiaceae.